UACGAAGGGGGCUAGCGUUGCUCGGAAUCACUGGGCGUAAAGCGCACGUAGGCGGACUCUUAAGUCGGGGGUGAAAUCCUGGAGCUCAACUCCAGAACUGCCUUCGAUACUGGGAGUCUUGAGUUCGGGAGAGGUGAGUGGAACUCCGAGUGUAGAGGUGAAAUUCGUAGAUAUUCGGAAGAACACCGAUGGCGAAGGCAGCCCCCUGGGCUAACACUGACGCUCAUGCACGAAAGCGUGGGGAGCAAACAGG
RNAcentral lists this ribosomal RNA (253 nucleotides) under uncultured bacterium. RNAcentral describes it as "partial 16S ribosomal RNA". It matches the Rfam family "Bacterial small subunit ribosomal RNA", at positions 524 to 776 of the family's 1533-position model. The record is from RNAcentral.